GUACUGCUGAAGAGUCCCAAACUUGGACAAAACAGCUGUCCAGUAC
Molecule: non-coding RNA, 46 nt
Filed under: Trichobilharzia regenti
Lineage: Eukaryota; Metazoa; Platyhelminthes; Trematoda; Strigeidida; Schistosomatidae
Source: RNAcentral